UAGUCCACGCCGUAAACGAUGAAUACUAGGUGUGGGGGACAUAAGUCCUCUGUGCCGAAGCUAACGCAUUAAGUAUUCCGCCUGGGGAGUACGGUCGCAAGACUAAAACUCAAAGGAAUUGACGGGGACCCGCACAAGCAGCGGAGCGUGUGGUUUAAUUCGAGGCUACACGAAGAACCUUACCUGGGCUUGACAUGCUAGUGGUAGCGACGGGAAACCCGAGCGACCCUUCGGGGAGCUAGCACAGGUGCUGCAUGGUUGUCGUCAGCUCGUGCCGUGAGGUGUUAGGUUAAGUCCUGCAACGAGCGCAACCCUCGCUGCUAGUUAAAUUUCUCUAGCGGGACUGCCGGGGUAACUCGGAGGAAGGUGGGGACGACGUCAAAUCAGCAUGGCCCUUAUUGUCCAGGGCUACACACACGCUACAAUGGUCGGUACAAUGGGUUGCCAAACCGCGAGGUGGAGCCAAUCCCCCAAAGCCGGCCCCAGUUCAGAUUGGAGGCUGCAACUCGCCUCCAUGAAGCC
This 522-nucleotide ribosomal RNA is filed under the name uncultured bacterium. Its description in RNAcentral is "bacterial SSU rRNA". It matches the Rfam family "Bacterial small subunit ribosomal RNA", at positions 791 to 1327 of the family's 1533-position model. The record is from RNAcentral.